Molecule: ribosomal RNA, 651 nt
Filed under: Streptomyces sp. YIM 100352
Lineage: Bacteria; Bacillati; Actinomycetota; Actinomycetes; Kitasatosporales; Streptomycetaceae
Description: bacterial SSU rRNA
Rfam family: Bacterial small subunit ribosomal RNA
Source: RNAcentral
GGAUUAGUGGCGAACGGGUGAGUAACACGUGGGCAAUCUGCCCUGCACUCUGGGACAAGCCCUGGAAACGGGGUCUAAUACCGGAUACUGACCCGCUUGGGCAUCCAAGCGGUUCGAAAGCUCCGGCGGUGCAGGAUGAGCCCGCGGCCUAUCAGCUUGUUGGUGAGGUAAUGGCUCACCAAGGCGACGACGGGUAGCCGGCCUGAGAGGGCGACCGGCCACACUGGGACUGAGACACGGCCCAGACUCCUACGGGAGGCAGCAGUGGGGAAUAUUGCACAAUGGGCGAAAGCCUGAUGCAGCGACGCCGCGUGAGGGAUGACGGCCUUCGGGUUGUAAACCUCUUUCAGCAGGGAAGAAGCGAAAGUGACGGUACCUGCAGAAGAAGCGCCGGCUAACUACGUGCCAGCAGCCGCGGUAAUACGUAGGGCGCGAGCGUUGUCCGGAAUUAUUGGGCGUAAAGAGCUCGUAGGCGGCUUGUCACGUCGGUUGUGAAAGCCCGGGGCUUAACCCCGGGUCUGCAGUCGAUACGGGCAGGCUAGAGUUCGGUAGGGGAGAUCGGAAUUCCUGGUGUAGCGGUGAAAUGCGCAGAUAUCAGGAGGAACACCGGUGGCGAAGGCGGAUCUCUGGGCCGAUACUGACGCUGAGGAG